CACCCCUCAAGCCUGGCUUGGUAUUGGGCGUCCGCGACCGCUUUAUGCGACCGCGCGCCCCAAUGUCUUCGGCUGAGCCGUCCGUCUCUAAGCGUUGUGGUCUUUUCAGAUUCGCUUGCGAGGCCGGGCCGGUUCGAUUGCCGCUAAACACCUCUCUUUUAA
Molecule: unclassified non-coding RNA, 162 nt
Filed under: uncultured Capnodiales
Lineage: Eukaryota; Fungi; Ascomycota; Dothideomycetes; Capnodiales
Description: sequence contains ITS2
Source: RNAcentral